AUUCUGCCAUUUUAUCUUGGGUUUCUACAGCUUUCUGGAAUUGCUCAACCUUCCUGAGCCUCAAAGUUCUUAUUUGUAAACUAGAGGCAAUAAGCCUACCUUGUAGGGGGUAGCUGUAGAAACAAGAUCUAAGGAAUGCAAAGCACACUUUCUGACACGAUUGAGUGCAAAAUAGUGAUCACCAAUAUUUUAGACACAGGGCAACCUGGAUCCAGUGUAUACCUAAAGGAGUUUUAACAGCUUGCCUUGUAUUCUUUUGCUUGAAGAGGCCACCUAGUAUAGCUGAAAGGUAGUAUUUUUAUUUAUAUUUAGCUGAAAAGUAAUAUUUACAUUUAUACUCUGAGUUGAAAAGAUACAUAGGUAUAAAACAGAAGUUAUACUUGGAAAACCGAAAAAAUAUUCUUUUACUUUUUUCAUUACAAAAAUAGUGGCCAGCUAAUUCAAUUCAAGAAGUUUUCCUAGCAUCUAUUUUGUGCAAGACAAUGUGUAAGCUGCAAUGAGUAAUCCCAUCCCAGUGAGGGGAUUAAGAUGGGCAUGAGAAUUAAAAUGGGAAUAAGACACCACACAAGAGAGACAAUUCAAACACAAGUUAAAUGGGAGGCCAAGGCGGGUGGAUCACCAGGUCAGGAGUUCAAGACCAGCCUGGCCAACAUGCUGAAACUCUGUCUCUACCAAAACUACAAAAAUUAGCUGGGCGUGGUAGCAAGCACCUGUAAUCCCAGCUGCUCUGGAGGCUGAGGCAGGAGAAUCGCUUGAACCCAAAAGGUGGAGGUUGCAGUGAGCUGAAAUCGCACCACUGUACUCCAACCUGGAUGACAGAGAGACUCUGUCUCAAAAAAAAAAAAAAAAAAAAUCUGUAUGCAAUGGGAAUCUCUGGAAGACUUUUACAGAUGGAAAUGCAUGGAAAUCAUAUUGAUUUAGAGAAAAGGGGUGUGUGCUGUUUAGGAGAGACUGAAGGAGGUAUGGAAUAGGAACAGGGACAUCUAAUGGGAAACCAUUGGAGAAGUACUUAACUGGCAAGAGGUAACAAAAUCAUGGACAAGACAGGGGCUUGAUAAGAUAUAAUGGCCCAGCAUGAGAAUCCCUUGAACCUCGGAGGUGGAGUUUGCAGUUAGCCAAGAUCACACCACUGCACUGCAGUCUGGGUGACAGAGUGAGACUGUGUCUCAAAAAAAAAAAAAAAAAAGCUGUAAUGGCCCACAUUUAUACUACUAAUUGGAGAAAUUCAAUAAUAGAAAAUACAAUGAAUAUCUAAAACAACUUUAAAAAAAUCAAUUUCAUAAUAUAAUUGAGAAGCCAAAAAGAUUGGUACAAUGGGAGUCAUUAACAAGAAAUAGCAAAGAACCAUGGCUGUCUCUGAAUUAACUAACUAAACAAUAUGGAACUUUAAAAGUAUGAUACAAGUGUAAUA
This 1411-nucleotide long non-coding RNA is filed under the name Papio anubis (olive baboon). RNAcentral's name for it is "lncRNA (ENSPANG00000049952.1)". The record is from RNAcentral. Lineage: Eukaryota; Metazoa; Chordata; Mammalia; Primates; Cercopithecidae.